UCCUAGGCCGACUAAGAAUUCUUAACCU
RNAcentral lists this non-coding RNA (28 nucleotides) under Homo sapiens (human). The record is from RNAcentral. Lineage: Eukaryota; Metazoa; Chordata; Mammalia; Primates; Hominidae.